Molecule: ribosomal RNA, 443 nt
Filed under: uncultured bacterium
Lineage: Bacteria
Description: partial 16S ribosomal RNA
Rfam family: Bacterial small subunit ribosomal RNA
Source: RNAcentral
GAUGAACGCUGGCGGCAUGCCUAACACAUGCAAGUCGAUCGGUAAGGCUCUUCGGAGUCCCCGAGAGGCGGACGGCUGAGUAACGCGUAGGAACACACCCUGCAGUGAGGGAUAAGACACCGAAAGGUGUUCUAAUACCGCAUACGGUCUUCGGAUUAAAGCAUUUAUGCGCUGAAGGAGUGGCCUGCGUCAUAUUAGAUAGUUGGUGAGGUAAUGGCUCACCAAGUCGAUGAUGUGUAGCUGGUCUGAGAGGAUGAUCAGCCAGACUGGAACUGAGACACGGUCCAGACUCCUACGGGAGGCAGCAGUGAGGAAUAUUUCACAAUGAGCGAAAGCGUGAUGGAGCAAUGCCGCGUGCAGGAUGAAGGCCCUCGGGUUGUAAACUGCUUUUAUAAGAGAAGAUUAUGACGGUAACUUAUGAAUAAGGGACGGCUAACUACGUG